Molecule: long non-coding RNA, 3915 nt
Filed under: Setaria viridis
Lineage: Eukaryota; Viridiplantae; Streptophyta; Magnoliopsida; Poales; Poaceae
Description: long non-coding RNA (SVIR_LNC006059)
Source: RNAcentral
CGCCUACAUGAUCCCUCGCCCACCUCACCCCCGCCGCGACCAUCCCCGGCCACUAUUAUUAUCACACAUCACCUACACGCUUUCCCUCUCUCUCCUCUCCCCUGCUUUCCCCAUUCCGCCCGCCGCCGAUUCCUCGCCGGCUUUGAUUCGCUUCCAAUUCCGAUCGCCUGCCGAACCCUAACGAGGGAAGGAAGGAAGGUAGGUUAAUUGGGAGCGCGCUCGCUCAGGCCGGCCCGUGGUUAACUGGUGACGCGCAUGGAGAUCUCGUUCGAGGCGUGGGAGGGCGUGCAGCGGCACGGCCAGGACCUCGCGGACCGCCUCGCGCAGGGCUUCACGGGCCUGCUCCAGGCGCCGCCGCAGUUCCCGUGGCCGCCGGCACCGCACAAACGGAUGCCCUUCGACAUCGACCUCCCCGUCGUCCCCUUCGGCGCCGGACGCGGAGCCCCCGGGAAGGACUUCCCCUUCCCCGCGGCGGCGGUCUCCUCGGUCAUCGACAUCGGCGGAAGGCUCGGACAGGCCGGCGCCGAGCUCGGGGCGUCCGUCGGCGGGGCCGUGCAGCACGCCGUCAGGCAGCUGCCCGUCCCGUUCCGCCAGAUCCGGCGCCGCAAGCAGUCGCCUCAGGCGCCCCUGCCCCCUGCGGCUUCGGUGGGCGAGGGGGCCGUAGGGCUCUCCGUCGGAAGGGCUGCUGCGGAUAGGUGCCCCCUAGAGGCGGCGGCCGCCGCAGCCGCUGCGGCAACUGGGAGCGCGGCCGCGUCGAGCGUCAGUGGUCAUGUUGGCGGAGAUGACUUGGAUGAGGAGGACGAGGGUUUCGGCUGCGAGAUUGGGACUUUUGGAAACUUUAAGAAGGCCAAGGUACGAUCCAACUCGUGGUUGUUUUAUGGAUUCCAGCAUAUCGGUGAUGUUUGCACCUCAAAUUAAGCGCACAAUUAUAUUGGUGAUGUUUGCAUCUCAAAUUAGGCACACAAUCUUAGUUGAGGGCUCAUGUCGUUACCGUACUAGUACACUCUAUGUAUUCAUUCUAGCAACUGGUUUACAUCUCUCUUGGCCUGGUCAUGAUACUUGGAGGAAUUUAGAACCGAGUUAUCAUCUGAUUUACUGUAAUCCUAUUUCUCAAAGUAAAUCUGAUAUCCUCGGAAGGAUCUCAUAUAUAAAUUUAUACAUUGAAGCUAAUACAAUCUUGAAUCUGCAAUUGAAUUGUCCUUUUUCUAUCAAAAAAUUAUAAGACUAUCAUGUACAAUCUUUAAGUGGUGGUACACACAUGAAUCGAAGGGCUUAAAUGCAUGGAUGUACAUCUAAGGUUGUACAUGAAAUAACUAAGCUAAAACUAACCUUCAAUUUUGAAUCAAUCAAAUGUUCUUACUGGACUUGUGGAAUUGUUUUACCUUGGCCAAUUUUCAGUCAUGUUACACUGACCCAGAUGGUGUCAUUCUGCAACAUACUUACCUUCUCUCCUGAUAAUUAUAUAUAGGGUACUGUAAAUAUGUCGGCAACUUACAACACCAGGAGUCAUGACAUCGAGAGUUCUGUUGUUGCACGUGGAGACCUAUGGAGGCUAGAGGCCUCACGUGGUGGUUCAACUUCUGGAAAUGAUACUUCGCCUCUUUACCUUAUUCAGUUGGGGCCUCUACUAUUUGUUCGAGACUCUACACUUCUCUUGCCUGUUCAUCUAUCAAAGCAACACCUGCUUUGGUAUGGUUAUGAUCGCAAGGUACUGAUCCUUUCUUUUGCCUUCUCCCAGAGUGUGAUUUACACUUGAGUAUGAUAAACGUUGUCUUUGGUCAUUUCUUUUGUUAUUAAAUCAUUAAAUAUUGUUUGCUCCUUUGGAUAGGCAAAGUUAUGGUCUUCAUUAUUAAUUAGAGAUCAAAAUUUAGACCAGCUGUACCUUGAUUAAGUUAUGAUUUUCUAGUAUAUUGUGCCUUCUGCCUAUUUGCUGACAUUUUUUUCCUCUUACAUUAUUAAACUUGAUAUUUCGUUACAGAAUGGAGUUCAUUCCCUAUGUCCGGCUAUAUGGUCAAAACAUAGAAGAUGGUUGAUGAUGUCGAUGAUGUGUCUCAAUCCAGUUGCUUGUGUAAGUCUCAUUCUCUUUAAGUUUGUGAAUAUAUUUUAAUCUCAUGGGUUAAGUGAACAAAUCAGUGAUUGUUCUGAUUUUUAUCAAGCAUAAGAGUUUGUUUUAGGUGCAACAGAGGUUAUCUGUAGUCGCCAGUGACCGGUGGGUUCUGUUAGUAUAGAGUAAAGCAACUGACUCUUUUUUGGAGAUUUUCCCUUUUUUUCUGGUAGCCUGAGAGAUAGGCCUGUUCAUUUGGCCUUUAGGUUGGAUGUACUGGGCAUCGGAAUAGUACUUACGAUUAAUUAGCGUACCAUGUUAUUUUCUGCAACUGGUAAGGAGUACAAUAGCCUAACUUGUAUUCUGAAAAUUUAAAAUGUGUUCAUUUAUAAUGUUACUGCGAUGCUUUCAAAAUUGUCACCAGGCAUGGUCCUAGCAUUUCCAGUUAAAUUCGCAUGAUCAUCCUUAUUUCCUUACAAUCUACUUGUGCAUAUGAACUUUGAGUAUUAAUAACACUCUCUUUAUUGCAGUCCUUUAUGGAUCUGCAGUUCCCUAAUGGGCAAUUAACAUAUGUUGCUGGUGAGGGGAUAUCAGCAAGUGGUUUUCUUCCGUUAUUUGGCGGGUUGCUCCAAGCUCAAGGAAAAUAUCCUGGAGAAACAAGAGUGAGCUUUUCUGUCAAGGUUAGUAUUUUAUAUUAUGUUCCCUAUAUUAAUCAAUUUUGGUGUAAAAAUUAGUUAAACCACUCUGGAAGUCACUUGCUUAUAUUAACACGAGAUUAUCAUGCAAGAUCCGCUAGUACCCAGUGAGGCAUGAUACAAUGGUAAUACGUAUUAAAUGCUUAUCAUACAUAAAAACCAAUCCAUGGCUGAUCAGAAAUAUUUUACGUUGUUUGUUGGUCAUAUCAUGCUCACACGUGUUCCGAUAGCAGAUGAGUUCAAUCUGACACUUGUAUUUUUUUUAGAAUAAACGUGGCACAAGGUUCACUCCUAUGUUUCAGUGGCCCGACAAGUCUGUUUCGUUAGGAGUUACUCAACCCUUGGCAUGGAAAAGAUCUGGUCUUAUGGUGAGACCCAGCAUACAAGUCAGGUAGUUUUCUAAUUACUUAUGGACAACACUACAGCAUUUUAAGUUUGGCAACUGUGUAGUUUUUCAUGUUAGUACCUAUUAACCUAUAGAGUCUUUUUAGUACCUUGGCUAAAAGUGAUUAUUUCAUUUUUGCCUAAUUCUUGUUCAUGUGGUGCUAAAAGCUGUGCAUGCUGCAUUCGUCUUAUAAAUGGCAAUACUUGUCAAGUAAUGUUAGAUGGAAUGUUGCCAGAUGCUGAUUUCACUGUUCAUCAAUAGGCUUGCUGUAUGCUCCAUGUUCUUGGUUUCUUUGAAUCCUUUUCUCUGUUUUAACACUUUUUUAAUUGACGUUCUGUUGGCAGUUUGUGCCCUACAUUUGGUGGAAGUGAUCCUGGGGUACGUGCAGAAGUUGUCCAUUCACUGAAAGAGGAAUUGAAUUUGAUGUGUGGCCUCUCUUGCACAAGACAUCCAUCAGCUUUUACCGCGCUCUCUGUAAGCUCUCCUUGCCUAAACAUUUCUGAUUGGUUCUUUCUAGGACUCUAGUUUUGCUAUAACUGAGUCUCUACAUGGCAGAUUGGCCGGUCCAAGUGGAAUGGUCAAGUGGGCAGUUCUGGAGUGGUAAUCACCUUGGAAACACCUCUUAAUAACAUUGGAAGGCCAGCUUUAUCCGUUCAACUGAAUGGCGGCUUUGAGUUGUGAUGUCUUGGCUUCUGCGCUGAAGUUGUACAUACCAGUGUAUAUAUUGCCAUCACUAAUGUCCGUCCUCCAUAGUCAUUGAUCGGCUGCUGAGCUGGUCAACCUAGAAAGUU